This 1406-nucleotide long non-coding RNA is filed under the name Linum usitatissimum (flax). RNAcentral describes it as "long non-coding RNA (LUSI_LNC002947)". Lineage: Eukaryota; Viridiplantae; Streptophyta; Magnoliopsida; Malpighiales; Linaceae. The record is from RNAcentral.
CUCUAACUUCUCUCCUCUCCUUUGGCGGCGGUGGCGGCAGCCCCUCUCUCCCUUUUCUUUGUUAUUCCUCUCCUCUCCUUCUCCUACUAUUCUCCUCCUUCUUCACCUUCUCUGUUUUUUCCUUUCUUCCACUGCUGCCACUCCUCCCCUCUAUUUUUUUUCUCUUUUCCCUCUCCUUCUCCUUCUCUUUUUUCUCCUUCUUCUCCUUCUCUUCUCCUCCUCUAUUUCUUCCCUUCAUCCGGUGGUAGCAACGUCGUCGCCGCUCUUCCCCUCCCUCUUUUUCCCUCUUCUUCCUCUCCUCCUCCUCUCAACGGUAUCGAAAACAAAUAGGUAAAAAAACUCAUAUAUGCAUCCCUACCCUUCUAUUUUCACGAUUUUAACUAGAUCCGGGUUUGCAUGUCGUCAGAGAUGCCUUCGACGACUUGCAAGCUCAGAUCUACAAAUCAAGGAUAUGAAUCUUGCUUGGUGGCUUUUUCUCACUUGUUUUAUUUUUUUUUAUUUUGUGUUUGCUGGGGAUGGGAAUCGGCGGAGAGGGAAAAAAGAAACAGAGAAAAGAAGAAAGGGAAAAAAGGGACGUCGCCGAUGAUGGAUCUGCCGGCCGGAGAUGAGACGGACGAGGGGAGGUAAAAACUCGGUUCUUAUUUGUCCUGAUUUAGCUUGAAAAUUGAUUAUUUUAUCAUCUUUAAUAGAAUUUCAACAUUGUUGUUUAACAGAAAUCCCUCUUUUAAGCUCGAUUUCAUCAUUAUGUUGUGAGUAGCUUUACAGUUCUUGAGUUCUUGGUGCAGAUGGUGUGAAAAUGAUGAUAAAUGGUGUUUGAGUCUCUUGUUAAUGUAUUUCCAGCAACUUUUAUUUGUCUUAGGAUGUUUAUUUCACUGUUUAGUUCAUUGUUUGCUAUGACGAAUAAUCUAUCCAUUUAGUUGUAAUGAAAACUAUAUUAGAAGUGGCUUUAAACGACAUAGCAUAACAAACACAUCUGUAUGCGCGAGCGGAUAAUAUAAGUGAUAUUUAAACGAUCGAAAAUAGGGAUGUUUGUGAAUGGUAUACCUUUAAGACGAGGCUUUUUGUCGUGUUUCAGAUAACGGCGCUCUUCCUCGUUUCCUAACUUUUGGGACGUCUGGACUUCCUUCUUUGAUGGCUUUUACGUGGGUGAUGACAUAAGAGAUUUGUAAUAUUUAUUUUUUGGACUUUGUGGGUUGAGGGUUUGUAUUGUUGUUGGGUUCCUAGGGGAGAAUUGGGGGGAGUCUCUGGGAAUUGUAAUAUUUUCCUUCGAGUUUACUUUCUGUUGUCCCCUUUUUCUUUGCUUGAAAAUUUGUUUGUCCUUUUAAAUGGAAAAAAGGUUGUCACCUCUCUUGACUUUCAAUCAAACAUCAACAACCAUGACGGACACAAAAGGGAAGUGACUUCCC